CAGCAGCCGCGGUAAUACGGAGGGUCCAAGCGUUGUCCGGAUUUAUUGGGUGUAAAGGGUGUGUAGGCGGGCUUGUAAGUCAGAGGUGAAAUCCCACGGCUCAACCGUGGAACUGCCUUUGAUACUGCAGGUCUUGAGUCCUGGAGAGGUUGUUAGAAUUCGUGGUGUAGCGGUGAAAUGCGUAGAUAUCACGAGGAAUACCGGUUACGAAGGUUGACAGCUGGACAGGUACUGACGCUGAGGCACGAAAGCGUGGGGAGCAAACAGGAUUAGAUACCCUGGUAGUCCACGCCGUAAACGAUGAUCACUCGGUGUCGCGGAGUAAUCUGCGGUGCCUAAGCUAACGCAUUAAGUGAUCCACCUGGGGAGUACGAUCGCAAGGUUGAAACUCAAAGGAAUUGACGGGGGCCCGCACAAGCGGUGGAGCAUGUGGCUUAAUUCGAUGCAACGCGAGGAACCUUACCUGGGCUCGAACGCUACCGGACAGUCGCCCGAAAGGGGAUUUUUCUUCGGAACUGGUAGUGAGGUGCUGCAUGGCUGUCGUCAGUUCGUGUCGUGAGAUGUUGGGUUAAGUCCCGCAACGAACGCAACCCCUAUUGUUAGUUACCAGCGGAUAAUGCCGGGGACUCUAGCGAGACUGCCUGCGCAAGCAGUGAGGAAGGUGGGGACGACGUCAAGUCAUCAUGGCCCUUAUGCCCAGGGCUGCACACGUGCUACAAUGGAUGGUACAACGGGCUGCCACCCCGCGAGGGGGAGCGAAUCCACAAAGCCAUCCUCAGUUCGGAUCGGAGUCUGCAACUCGACUCCGUGAAGUCGGAAUCGCUAGUAAUCGCGUAUCAGCAAUGACGCGGUGAAUACGUUCCCGGGCCUUGUACACACCGCCCGUCAAGCCAUGGAAGCCGGGGGCACCCGAAGCCCGUGACCCAACUUAGUGAGGGAGCGGUCGAAGGUGAAUCUGGUGACUGGGGCUAAGUCGUAACAAGGUAACCGUA
RNAcentral lists this ribosomal RNA (992 nucleotides) under uncultured Bacteroidota bacterium. Its description in RNAcentral is "bacterial SSU rRNA". It matches the Rfam family "Bacterial small subunit ribosomal RNA", at positions 509 to 1504 of the family's 1533-position model. Lineage: Bacteria; Pseudomonadati; Bacteroidota. The record is from RNAcentral.